UUCCACAAGUUGUUCUUUGACCCUCACAUGU
RNAcentral lists this non-coding RNA (31 nucleotides) under Mus musculus (house mouse). Lineage: Eukaryota; Metazoa; Chordata; Mammalia; Rodentia; Muridae. The record is from RNAcentral.